This is a long non-coding RNA of Cotesia glomerata, 743 nucleotides long. RefSeq lists it as uncharacterized. The record is from RefSeq and is a predicted model, not a curated record. Lineage: Eukaryota; Metazoa; Arthropoda; Insecta; Hymenoptera; Braconidae. The transcript is spliced from 3 exons.
AAGAAACGAAUUAUCAUACAUACAACAAUUCGAUCUAGGUAGCCGCAGAUAAUCUUCCCUUACAUCGCCUCUACGCAACGCAACCGGCAAAAAUUCUAAGUGACAUUUAAAUAGCUGACGAUAAUUUAAAUAUAUUUCUUUGUAAAAUAGGCAUGCUAUAAAGUAGUUUCUUCUGUCACUCAGCUUUAACCAACCUAGCCUCUUAAAGUACGGAGUAAUGUGUUCAGCCCUCGCAAUUUUAUAGAUAUAGCGAACACAGCAAUUCAUUUUGCGCUGUAAUCGCAUUUGCGAGUAAUUAGUAAUAUUGCAGUAAGCCGCACAACAAUAAUCAAACACUGGGAAUAUUAACGUGGUGACAAGCUUCAUACGCAGUUUUUCGUUGAAGAUUUCAUUAUUAAUCUUCAACUGCGCCAGAACCCGCAUUGCCCUAUUACAAACACUCAUAACCUGAUUUUCCCAGAUCAUCAGACAAUUGAGUCGGAAAACGGAAGGCUCGACAGGCCAGUCCAGAAACUUAUGUCGUUACUUCAUCGAGGUAGAGGUAUCCUGAAAUUUCUUCACGGCCAUAUAAAACGUCCUAUGACCUAUAAGAUUUAUUAAUCCACAGCCGUCAUGUGUUGUCGAUCAUGAACGGCAUUGGAUAAGAUCAAAGCAGUCGAUAUUCCCUUAUCUAUUUAAUAAGAAAAUAAGGGAGUAUUUAACGAUAGAUGUUUGAUAAAUUAAAAAUUAAUCUAAGGGAAUUU